RNAcentral lists this ribosomal RNA (758 nucleotides) under Bjerkandera adusta. RNAcentral describes it as "eukaryotic LSU rRNA". It matches the Rfam family "Eukaryotic large subunit ribosomal RNA", at positions 1 to 752 of the family's 3401-position model. Lineage: Eukaryota; Fungi; Basidiomycota; Agaricomycetes; Polyporales; Phanerochaetaceae. The record is from RNAcentral.
CAAAUCAGGUAGGACUACCCGCUGAACUUAAGCAUAUCAAUAAGCGGAGGAAAAGAAACUAACAAGGAUUCCCCUAGUAACUGCGAGUGAAGCGGGAAAAGCUCAAAUUUAAAAUCUGGCGGUCUUCGGCCGUCCGAGUUGUAAUCUGGAGAAGCGUUUUCCGCGCCGGACCGUGUACAAGUCUCUUGGAACAGAGCGUCAUAGAGGGUGAGAAUCCCGUCUUUGACACGGACUACCGGUGCUAUGUGAUGCGCUCUCGAUGAGUCGAGUUGUUUGGGAAUGCAGCUCAAAAUGGGUGGUAAAUUCCAUCUAAAGCUAAAUAUUGGCGAGAGACCGAUAGCGAACAAGUACCGUGAGGGAAAGAUGAAAAGCACUUUGGAAAGAGAGUUAAACAGUACGUGAAAUUGCUGAAAGGGAAACGAUUGAAGUCAGUCGCGUGUGCUAGAACUCAGCCUUGCUUUUGCUUGGUGCAUUUUCUAGUGUACGGGCCAGCAUCAGUUUUGGCCGCCGGAAAAAGGCCUUGGGAAUGUGGCACCUUCGGGUGUGUUAUAGCCCUUGGUUGUAUACGGUGGCUGGGACUGAGGAACAUAGCAUGCCUUUACGGCGGGGCUUCGGCCACCUUCAUGCUUUGGAUGCUGGCGUAAUGGCUUUAAACGACCCGUCUUGAAACACGGACCAAGGAGUCUAACAUGCCUGCGAGUGUUUGGGUGGAAAACCCGAGCGCGCAAUGAAAGUGAAAGUUGGGACUUCUGUCGUGG